Molecule: long non-coding RNA, 323 nt
Filed under: Rosa chinensis
Lineage: Eukaryota; Viridiplantae; Streptophyta; Magnoliopsida; Rosales; Rosaceae
Description: sRNA RchiOBHm_Chr5g0054441
Source: RNAcentral
CGAGUGGCCGGAAAUGACGAAUCGAUACUUGCAGAAUCCCAGAUUCCGGCGACGACUUGUAUGGCCUCGUCCGACAUCGGUGGGUGACAGAACCUCUGGGUUUUCUUCUCCAUUGCUCGCUGAGUGCAGCGGUGAUGGUGGUGUGGUAAAGGGAUGACUGGAAACCGUUGAGGGUCGUGGAACAGUGGCGUCGCAGGUUUGGAGGUCGAGUGCGGCGACCGGAACGUCUUGAUCGAUGGUGAAACGACUGGGUCUUGGUCGGGUUUGUGUUAUGAUUCAAAUGGUGGUGGCGGUGUAGUGUGGUAGUGGCCGGGUAGUGGUGA